UACGUAGGUGGCAAGCGUUGUCCGGAAUUACUGGGCGUAAAGAAUGCGUAGGCGGCUUUUUAAGUGGGAUGUGAAAUCCCUGGGCUCAACCCAGGAACUGCAUUCCAAACUGGAGAGCUAGAGUGUGGGAGAGGAAAAUGGUAUUCCCAGUGUAGCGGUGAAAUGCGUAGAGAUUGGGAGGAACACCAGUAGCGAAGGCGAUUUUCUGGAACAUAACUGACGCUGAGGCAUGAAAGCGUGGGGAGCAAAC
RNAcentral lists this ribosomal RNA (250 nucleotides) under uncultured bacterium. RNAcentral describes it as "partial 16S ribosomal RNA". It matches the Rfam family "Bacterial small subunit ribosomal RNA", at positions 524 to 773 of the family's 1533-position model. The record is from RNAcentral.